UGGACUGGCCGCCAGGGUCCGGAAGAGGAGCGAGUUCACUCGAUCAUCUACGUUACGUGGGUGGUGGGGAGCGACGAGCUCUGGGUUACUGUGAAGAAAUUAGAGUGUUUAAAGCAGGCAGGAAAGCUUGAAUAGACGAGCAUGGAAUAACAAGAUAGGACAUUGAGAGCCUCUUGUUGGUGAAGGGGGACGGAUGUAAUGAUUAAUAGGGUCAGUUGGGGGCAUUAGUAUUCAGUAGUCAGAGGUGAAAUUCUUGGAUUUACUGAAGACUAACUAGUGCGAAAGCAUUUGCCAAGGAUGUUUUCAUUAAUCAAGAACGAAAGUUAGGGGAUCGAAGACGAUCAGAUACCGUCGUAGUCUUAACUAUAAACGAUGCCGACUAAGGAUCGGCAGGGGUCGGUUAGCGACACUGUCGGGACUUUGUGAGAAAUCAAAGUUUAUGGGUUCUGGGGGGAGUAUGGUCGCAAGGCUGAAACUUAAAGGAAUUGACGGAAGGGCACCACCAGGAGUGGAGCCUGCGGCUUAAUUUGACUCAACACGGGAAAACUCACCAGGUCCGGACAUGGUAAGGAUUGACAGAUUGAGAGCUCUUUCUUGAUUCUGUGGGUGGUGGUGCAUGGCCGUUCUUAGUUGGUGGAGUGAUUUGUCUGGUUAAUUCCGAUAACGAACGAGACCUUGACCUGCCAACUAGAUGCUAGUACGAGAGUAUUGGUAGACUUCUUAGAGGGACUGACUA
Molecule: ribosomal RNA, 736 nt
Filed under: uncultured eukaryote
Lineage: Eukaryota
Description: bacterial SSU rRNA
Rfam family: Eukaryotic small subunit ribosomal RNA
Source: RNAcentral